Molecule: ribosomal RNA, 253 nt
Filed under: uncultured bacterium
Lineage: Bacteria
Description: partial 16S ribosomal RNA
Rfam family: Bacterial small subunit ribosomal RNA
Source: RNAcentral
UACAGAGACUGCAAGCGUUAUUCGGAUUCACUGGGCGUAAAGGGUGCGCAGGCGGCCGUGUGUGUGAGGCGUGAAAGCCCGGGGCUUAACCCCGGAAUUGCACCUCAAACUACAUGGCUAGAGCAUUGGAGAGGGUAGCAGAAUUCAUGGUGUAGCAGUGAAAUGCGUAGAUAUCAUGAGGAGUACCAGAGGCGAAGGCGGCUACCUGGACAAUUGCUGACGCUCAGGCACGAAAGCGUGGGGAGCAAAAGGG